UAGUCCACGCCGUAAACGAUGGAUACUAGCUGUUCGGACUUCGGUCUGAGUGGCCCAGCGAAAGUGAUAAGUAUCCCACCUGGGGAGUACGUUCGCAAGAAUGAAACUCAAAGGAAUUGACGGGGGCCCGCACAAGCGGUGGAGCAUGUGGUUUAAUUCGAUGAUACGCGAGGAACCUUACCAAGGUUUAAAUGCAGAACGACAGUCCCGGAAACGGGAUCUUCUUCGGACGGUCUGCAAGGUGCUGCAUGGUUGUCGUCAGCUCGUGCCGUGAGGUGUCGGGUUAAGUCCCAUAACGAGCGCAACCCCUACUUCUAGUUGCCAGCGGAUAAUGCCGGGGACUCUAGAGGAACUGCCAGCGUAAGCUGCGAGGAAGGUGGGGAUGGACGUCAAGUCAGUAUGGGUCCUUAUGUCCAGGGGCUGCACGCGUGCUACAAUGGGGAUGUACAAUGGGGAAGCCAAGCCGCGAGGGUGGGAGC
RNAcentral lists this ribosomal RNA (479 nucleotides) under uncultured bacterium. Its description in RNAcentral is "bacterial SSU rRNA". It matches the Rfam family "Bacterial small subunit ribosomal RNA", at positions 791 to 1268 of the family's 1533-position model. The record is from RNAcentral.